This 1402-nucleotide ribosomal RNA is filed under the name uncultured bacterium. RNAcentral's name for it is "16S ribosomal RNA". It matches the Rfam family "Bacterial small subunit ribosomal RNA". The record is from RNAcentral.
AGAGUUUGAUCCUGGCUCAGGAUGAACGCUGGCGGCGUGCCUAACACAUGCAAGUCGAGGGGCAGCGGGGAGGAAGCUUGCUUUCUCCGCCGGCGACCGGCGCACGGGUGAGUAACACGUAUGCAACCUGCCCCUGUCAGGGGGACAACCCGCCGAAAGGCGGGCUAAACCCGCGUACAUGCCACCGGGGCAUCCCGGAGGCAGGAAAGGCUUCGGCCGGACAGGGAUGGGCAUGCGGCGCAUUAGGCAGUAGGCGGGGUAACGGCCCACCUAACCGACGAUGCGUAGGGGUUCUGAGAGGAAGGUCCCCCACACUGGUACUGAGACACGGACCAGACUCCUACGGGAGGCAGCAGUGAGGAAUAUUGGUCAAUGGUCGGGAGACUGAACCAGCCAAGCCGCGUGAGGGAGGAAGGUACAGAGUAUCGUAAACCUCUUUUGUCAGGGAACAAAGGCGGGGACGUGUCCCCGGAUGAGUGUACCUGAAGAAAAAGCAUCGGCUAACUCCGUGCCAGCAGCCGCGGUAAUACGGAGGAUGCGAGCGUUAUCCGGAUUUAUUGGGUUUAAAGGGUGCGCAGGCGGUCUGUUAAGUCAGCGGUCAAAGCCCGGGGCUCAACCCCGGCCCGCCGUUGAAACUGGCAGUCUCGAGUUGGAGAGAAGUAUGCGGAAUGCGCGGUGUAGCGGUGAAAUGCAUAGAUAUCGCGCAGAACUCCGAUUGCGAAGGCAGCAUGCCGGCUCCACACUGACGCUGAGGCACGAAAGCGUGGGUAUCGAACAGGAUUAGAUACCCUGGUAGUCCACGCAGUAAACGAUGAAUGCUGGCUGUCCGGGGGGACUGACCCCUGGGUGGCGAAGCGAAAGCGAUAAGCAUUCCACCUGGGGAGUACGCCGGCAACGGUGAAACUCAAAGGAAUUGACGGGGGCCCGCACAAGCGGAGGAACAUGUGGUUUAAUUCGAUGAUACGCGAGGAACCUUACCCGGGCUCAAACGGGGAGUGGCGCAGGCAGAGACGCCUGUUUCCCACGGGACACUCCCCGAGGUGCUGCAUGGUUGUCGUCAGCUCGUGCCGUGAGGUGUCGGCUUAAGUGCCAUAACGAGCGCAACCCCCGCGUGCAGUUGCUAACAGUCAACGCUGAGGACUCUGCACGGACUGCCGGCGCAAGCCGCGAGGAAGGCGGGAAUGACGUCAAAUCAGCACGGCCCUUACGUCCGGGGCGACACACGUGUUACAAUGGGUGGUACAGCGGGAAGCCAGGCGGCGACGCCGAGCGGAACCCGAAAUCCACUCUCAGUUCGGAUCGGAGUCUGCAACCCGACUCCGUGAAGCUGGAUUCGCUAGUAAUCGCGCAUCAGCCAUGGCGCGGUGAAUACGUUCCCGGGCCUUGCACACACCGCCCGUCA